RNAcentral lists this ribosomal RNA (490 nucleotides) under uncultured bacterium. Its description in RNAcentral is "partial 16S ribosomal RNA". It matches the Rfam family "Bacterial small subunit ribosomal RNA", at positions 30 to 507 of the family's 1533-position model. The record is from RNAcentral.
AUUGAACGCUGGCGGCAGGCCUAACACAUGCAAGUCGAACGGUAACAGGAAGAAGCUUGCUUCUUUGCUGUCGAGUGGCGGACGGGUGAGUCAUGUCUGGGAAACUGCUUGAUGGAGGGGGAUAACUACUGGAAACGGUAGCUAAUACCGCAUAACGUCGCAAGCGCAAAGAGGGGGACCUUCGGGCCUCUUGCCAUCGGCUGUGCCCAGAUUGGAUUAGCUAGUAGGUGGGGUAACGGCUCACCUAGGCGACGAUCCCUAGCUGAUCUGAGAGGAUGACCAGCCACACUGGAACUGAGACACGGUCCAGACUCCUACGGGAGGCAGCAGUGGGGAAUAUUGCACAAUGGGCGCAAGCCUGAUGGAGCAAUGCCGCGUGUAUGAUGAAGGCCUUCGGGUUGUAAAGUACUGUCAGCGGGGAGGAAGAGAGGUAUGUUAAUAUCUUUACACAUUGACGUUACCCGAAGAAGAAGCAACGGCUAACUCCGUG